This 568-nucleotide small RNA is filed under the name Pongo abelii (Sumatran orangutan). RNAcentral's name for it is "processed transcript". Lineage: Eukaryota; Metazoa; Chordata; Mammalia; Primates; Hominidae. The record is from RNAcentral.
AAAUUGUGGCAAAAUAUCUUUGAAUUCUUAUUCCUGCCAGAGGGUUAAUAUGUAGAAGACCAUCAUUCAUCCUUACAGAUUCUCAGAAUCUUGGAAGAGACAAUACACAUUCCAACUAUGGAGAAUGGUCCUAAGCUGGCAAGCCGCAUCUUGAGCAAAUUAACUGAUAUCCAGUAUGGAAGAGAAGAGAGCGACUGGACAAUCGUGCUAUCCUGAAUGGAAAAUAGAGGAUACAAUGGAAAAUAGAGGAUACCAACUGUAUGCUACUGGGACAGACUGUUGCAUUUGAAUUGUGAUAGAUUUCUUUGGCUACCUGUGCAUAAUGUAGUUUGUAGUAUCAGUGUGUUACAAGAGUGAUUGUUUCUUCAUGCCAGAGAAAAUGAAUUGCAAUCAUCAAAUGGUGUUUUGUAACUUGGUAGUAGUAGCUUACCUUACCUUACCUAGAAAAAUAUUAAUGUAAGCCAUAUAACAUGGGAUUUUCCUCAAUGAUUUUAGUGCCUCCCUUUGUACUUCACUCAGAUACUAAAUAGUAGUUUAUUCUUUAAUAUAAGUUACAUUCUGCUCCUCA